AAGAUUUCUGACUCGUGCCACGAAUCAUCCACUGUGUCCGCGAUCGCAUCCAUUGUCGAGACUCCGGCUCGUCGGAUCGAGGAAAUUCCUCCGGUCCAGCAAGCAGAGCGUUACGGUAAUGUCUCGUGCAGAAGCUGGCGUGAGCGUUUGGUGCAAAAUAGAUCAUGCCGGACAUACCCUCGUUCAACUCUGAAGAGAGCCUAGGACGAUUGCUCUGGCUUCUCCUCAGUGUGAAGAACGGUUUCAUCGUGAAUUUCUCUAAGCUUCCUGCUUACACAGGCACCCGUGUUGACAAUCCUGGGCAUGUAUUUGAUCACUAUUACGAUGCCGGAUUUGGAAGUUUUCAAUGCUGCAGCCAUUGACACCUACCCACCAAUGCCAAUGUCAGUGACUGCUCAGUGUCUGACUGUGCGAGGAGCUCAAGCCCCAUUUGUUGAGAAGUGUAUGAUGGUGGGAUGAUCUUCGAUAUUAGUCAUAGAAUCACUAGUGACAUGCUAUCACGGGGAUCAGAAGAUGGGUUGGGUUAGUUUCUGAGGCUUGCGGCGAGUAUGCAGAAUGGGUCUUUAGCGAGUAACUCAGAGAUGAAGUUGCCCACUUACAUGGGGAAUUAUGUGGAUGCUCCUGGUCACAUCUUUGAUCAUUACUUCGAUGCUGGUUUUGAUGUGA
Eucalyptus grandis is the source of this 666-nucleotide long non-coding RNA. RefSeq lists it as uncharacterized. The transcript is spliced from 3 exons. NCBI's taxonomy places the organism in Eukaryota, Viridiplantae, Streptophyta, Magnoliopsida, Myrtales, Myrtaceae. The record is from RefSeq and is a predicted model, not a curated record.